This 465-nucleotide ribosomal RNA is filed under the name uncultured bacterium. RNAcentral describes it as "partial 16S ribosomal RNA". It matches the Rfam family "Bacterial small subunit ribosomal RNA", at positions 338 to 795 of the family's 1533-position model. The record is from RNAcentral.
CCUACGGGAGGCAGCAGUAGGGAAUCUUCCACAAUGGGCGAAAGCCUGAUGGAGCAACGCCGCGUGGGUGAAGAAGGUCUUCGGAUCGUAAAACCCUGUUGUUAGAGAAGAAAGUGCGUGAGAGUAACUGUUCACGUUUCGACGGUAUCUAACCAGAAAGCCACGGCUAACUACGUGCCAGCAGCCGCGGUAAUACGUAGGUGGCAAGCGUUAUCCGGAUUUAUUGGGCGUAAAGGGAACGCAGGCGGUCUUUUAAGUCUGAUGUGAAAGCCUUCGGCUUAACCGGAGUAGUGCAUUGGAAACUGGGAGACGUGAGUGCAGAAGAGGAGAGUGGAACUCCAUGUGUAGCGGUGAAAUGCGUAGAUAUAUGGAAGAACACCAGUGGCGAAGGCGGCUCUCUGGUCUGUAACGGACGCUGAGGUUCGAAAGCGUGGGUAGCAAACAGGAUUAGAUACCCCUGUAGUC